CCACUCAGCAUUAAUUCCUUUGAGAUUCAUCUGUGUUAUUGCAUGUAUCAAUAGUUCUUUUCUCUUUAUUGCUAAGCAUAAUUCCAUUGUAUGGAUAGACCACCGUUUGCCUAAGCAUUCACUCAAUAAAGACAUCUCAGUUUUUUCCAGUUUUUUAUGAAUAACACUUCUAUGAACUUUCAUGUAUAUGUUUUUGUGUAAAAAAAAUGCUUUUUUUUUUUUUCAUUUAUCUGGGACAAAUGCUCAAGAGUACAAUUGCUGGGUUGUUAGUACAUGUUUAAUUUUCUAAGAAACUGCCAAACAGUUUUCCAGAAUGGCCAUACCUUUUCACAGUCCCACCAGCUUUUGGUCAUGCCUCUCUCCUAAGCUCCGGAACGUUGCUUCCAACUGCCUCUUGGAUAAAUGCGCCUGGAUGUCUCACAUCCGGGAACUCAGAGUGUUAAAACUUGAGCUCAUUAUUUUCCCCUAGACACCAAUUAUUCCUUUUUUAUUUUCCGUCUUUAUUAACGAAAGUGUUUACUGCCUAAGCCAGACACUGAGAGCCACCAUGUAUUCCUCUCUCUCUCUCACCUAUUCCCAUGUUUAAUCCAUUAUUUGGAUUGGUCCAUUUUAUCUCCAUUUUCUCAAAUACAGGAAAAGACAGAUCAUCAUCAACCAGCAAUUGUGACUAUCUACAUAUUCACAUAAGGAUUUCCCAACUUGGGGUAUUUUUGUCAAGUUGAGACCAGGCAUCUUGGAGUUAGUUCCAUCAGGUUACUGUGACUGUCAUCGAUAGCCUCCAAGGGAAAACAACUCACAAGAGUCAGCCUGGGACAUAUGAGAAAGAGAUGCCGGUCUCCUACCUCUUGUUUCCUCACUUGAAGUGCAACCCAUUUCCAACCAUCUUUUCUUUCCAACUACUCAGGGUCCUGCUUUGAUUUUUCUAUGCACACAGCUGACAUAUGCUGGGCCUAAGAAAGGGAGGCUGCAGGACUGGACAUGCUGGUUUGCUAGGGAACCAGUGAAUCCUCUGUGAAGCUUGUCCAGUGAAGACCCAAAUAUUUACAAAUUAUCAGGAAAGAACUCAUUCUCUUUCUCUCUGUAUAUUCUGUCUGUAUUGGCUUUCCAUUGCUUCAGUAAUAAACUACCGCAAAUUUAGCAGCAUACAAUAAAACUUUAUUAUCUUAUA
Molecule: long non-coding RNA, 1168 nt
Filed under: Homo sapiens (human)
Lineage: Eukaryota; Metazoa; Chordata; Mammalia; Primates; Hominidae
Description: HSALNT0296440
Source: RNAcentral